RNAcentral lists this ribosomal RNA (733 nucleotides) under uncultured marine bacterium. RNAcentral's name for it is "bacterial SSU rRNA". It matches the Rfam family "Bacterial small subunit ribosomal RNA", at positions 36 to 817 of the family's 1533-position model. The record is from RNAcentral.
CUGGCGGCAGGCCUAACACAUGCAAGUCGAGCGCGCCUUCGGGUGAGCGGCGGACGGGUUAGUAACGCGUGGGAACGUGCCCUUUUCUACGGAAUAGCCUCUGGAAACGGAGAGUAAUACCGUAUACGCCCUUUGGGGGAAAGAUUUAUCGGAGAAGGAUCGGCCCGCGUUAGAUUAGGUAGUUGGUGGGGUAACGGCCUACCAAGCCUACGAUCUAUAGCUGGUUUUAGAGGAUGAUCAGCAACACUGGGACUGAGACACGGCCCAGACUCCUACGGGAGGCAGCAGUGGGGAAUCUUAGACAAUGGGGGCAACCCUGAUCUAGCCAUGCCGCGUGAGUGAUGAAGGCCUUAGGGUCGUAAAGCUCUUUCGCCUGUGAUGAUAAUGACAGUAGCAGGUAAAGAAACCCCGGCUAACUCCGUGCCAGCAGCCGCGGUAAUACGGAGGGGGUUAGCGUUGUUCGGAAUUACUGGGCGUAAAGCGCGCGUAGGCGGAUUAGAAAGUUGGGGGUGAAAUCCCGGGGCUCAACCUCGGAACUGCCUCCAAAACUGCUAGUCCAGAGUUCGAGAGAGGUGAGUGGAAUUCCGAGUGUAGAGGUGAAAUUCGUAGAUAUUCGGAGGAACACCAGUGGCGAAGGCGGCUCACUGGCUCGAUACUGACGCUGAGGUGCGAAAGUGUGGGGAGCAAACAGGAUUAGAUACCCUGGUAGUCCACACCGUAAACGAUGAAUGCC